UAAUACGUAGGGUGCAAGCGUUAAUCGGAAUUACUGGGCGUAAAGGGUGCGCAGGUGGUUUUGUAAGUCAGAUGUGAAAUCCCCGGGCUUAAACCCUGGGAAUUGCGUUUGAAACUUACAAGACUAGAGUGUGGCAGAGGGGGGUGGAAGUUCCGAUGUGUAGCAGUGAAAUGCGUAGAGAUAUGGAAGAACAUCGAUGGCGAAGGCAGCCCCCUGGGUUAACACUGACACUCAGGCACGAAAGCGUGGGGAGCAAACAGGAUUAGAUACCCUGGUAGUCCACGCCCUAAACUAUGUCAACUAGUUGUUGGGUCUUAUUAGACUUGGUAACGAAGCUAACGCGUGAAGUUGACCGCCUGGGGAGUACGGUCGCAAGAUUAAAACUUAAAGGAAUUG
Molecule: ribosomal RNA, 396 nt
Filed under: uncultured ammonia-oxidizing bacterium
Lineage: Bacteria
Description: bacterial SSU rRNA
Rfam family: Bacterial small subunit ribosomal RNA
Source: RNAcentral